Gallus gallus (chicken) is the source of this 1227-nucleotide long non-coding RNA. The record is from Ensembl. NCBI's taxonomy places the organism in Eukaryota, Metazoa, Chordata, Aves, Galliformes, Phasianidae.
GUUAGAGGAGCUUAUUAGAAAACGGGGGGGAAAAAAAUGCAAUAAAAUUAGAAAGAUGUGAAUUAAAACAAGUGAUGAAAUCCAGUCCCUGCUGACGGCAAGGGGAGACCUCUCUCCGCACGCACCCUUUCUGGGCUUGGAAGAUGCCCAGGCAUUGAUAAACGUUUUAUGAGAGCCCGGCUCGGCUGCAGCACGCUCUGCAUUGCUCUGGGAGGAGAACCCCCAGGCACUUUUCAUCUCCGAGUGUUCGCGAGUGAAGCCAAACCAUGCAGCUCUGCUCUCGGGGCUGCAAUUACCAACACUGUGCACACGGAAAGCGAAGCUAGAGCAGCACCAGCCAUAGCCGGUCGCUUGGGGAACACGUCCUGCGAGACAAGUGCAUGUCCCUGUGAUGUAGCGAGCUGGGGAGGUGCUCCCCUCCAAGGGCACAAAGCAUGGAUGAAGCUGCCUGUGCUACAGCUCCUUGACCUUGGUGUUAGAACCAAUGGUUUCGUGCUGUUCACCUUCCGAGCCCUCCUGGUGCCUGGGCACUAAGAGCCCAUGGAAUGAGGAUGGCUCCUCAGUGGUGAAGAACAGGAGGACCAGGUGGGCCAAUGGCUUGGUCAACACAGCUCUGGGCCGACAUAUCCUUUUGGAAGCUGCCAACUUGCCAGCAUGGCUUCUGGUUUCUGACUGCCCACUGCAGGACUUCUUUGCACACAUGGUUGUUGCGCUUCUUCCAUGUGUGCAUUGAACCUCCUGCCCCCCGCCAGCUUAGGCCAACUCUCUGCCAGAACAUAGAAUGAUGGAAUCAUUCAGGUUGGAAAGACUGAUAAGAUCAUCUAGUCCGACCAUCAGCUCGUGUGUGUGACUGCUGUACACCAUGCCACUCAGUGCCACACCUCCAUGGUUCUUGAACAUCUCCAGGGAUGGUGACCCCCCACCUCCCUGGGCAGCUGUGCCACUGCAUCACCACUCUGAGAAGAAAUUUUUCCUACAGCACUGAAUGCUGUGAUUCAUAAGGGCUCUCCCAUUCUGCUUCUCCCCCUAGGAGGCUCGUGCUGUAUUAUCCAGCAUCUAAAGCUAAGUGGAGUGAAAGCCCAAAAUCUAAUUUUGAAAAUAAUAAUAAAAGAAGAUUUAAUCAUGUGUCAUCUGUGCUCUAUGCCACUCCGGUGAAUCAUAACCCUUCGUUACCAGCGAGUUUCAUGGUUUAGGAUCCCAGUGCCAGCACAGAAACCCUGAGCCCAG